Molecule: long non-coding RNA, 644 nt
Organism: Dermacentor silvarum
Lineage: Eukaryota; Metazoa; Arthropoda; Arachnida; Ixodida; Ixodidae
Exons: 3
Source: RefSeq, a predicted model, not a curated record
AAUCAGCCAUAACAUGCACAAUACAAGAGAACACACAAGCACUAGUAUCGGCAGCAGCUAAGGCAGAAAUCACAGUGUUUUCUGUAUUAAUUCAGGAAAAUAAUUCUAACCUGCAAGUAUACAAAGUAGCUUCAGAAGGUUGUCGGGCUGCCCCCGCUGCUGUCAAGUGGUUGCAGAUCGAAGAUGCAGGCCUUUAUGUAGCUUGUUCGUCCACCUGGUGGGCGUGACGUCACUGGCAGUCACACGUAGUCACUGCAGGUGAGCCUUGCACUUGCUGAUAUCACAGCGUGCCGUAAGCAGCUGUUGAAACAGUGGUCCAAGCUGCAAAUAUACAAAGUAGCUUCAGAAGGUUGUCGGGCUGCCCCCGCUGCUGCCAAGUGGUUGCAGAUCGAAGAUGCAGGCCUUUAUGUAGCUUGUUCGUCCACCUGGUGGGCGUGACGUCACUGGCAGUCACACGUAGUCACUGCAGGUGAGCCUUGCACUUGCUGAUAUCACAGCGUGCCGUAAGCAGCUGUUGAAACAGUGGUCCAAGCUGCAAAUAUACAAAGUAGCUUCAGAAGGUUGUCGGGCUGCCCCCGCUGCUGCCAAGUGGUUGCAGAUCGAAGAUGCAGGCCUUUAUGUAGCUUGUUCGUCCACCUGGUGGG